UCCACAAAAGCGUCUCCUGUUUCAUUGGAGCUGCGUCAGUCAACUGGUUGCCCAUAUGGGGAGCCCGGAGCGCUGAGACCCUCUCUCUGACAAUACAAGGAGCGCUGCGAUCCUCUCUCCGAUGGAACAGAGCGUCAACAGGAAGAAGGCAGUGAACCUGUCUGGGUCCUGGAAUGCCUGAUACGUCCCUGCAAACCACCAGACCCCGACCCAGAGGAAACGUUAACCACAGAACAGGGGAACCAACAGGAGCCUCACAAGCCAGACCUAGCAAGUAUACCCACAACUCCCAUUAACUAUGGCACCUUGGCCAACUCCCCUGGUACUCCAGUUCGCACCGAUUCCAGUAAUGGCGGACUCAGACGAGUUUCCUGUGAUCCAGCUCGGGCCAACUCUCCAAUUGGCUUUCAUAAAAGAAUGGGCAGGAACAGGGGCUCUGGCUACCAUGACUACACUUGCCGCAUUCAGCAGUCUACUUCUGCUCUGUUGGAUUCACAGACAAAGGAAUAGGGACAAAGUAUCAAACAAGCAUUUCUGAUCAUGGAAUCUGGUCAAAGCCUGGCAGCAUGGCUCACCAUGCUGUGAUGCAGGUGUGGAGCAAAGCAUCGCAGGGGGUGUCAUCCUUGGCCAGGUGACACCCCGGUCCCCAUGUUGGUGAGCAUGCGGGUUGGGCUCAUAAAACAAUACUCCCGCCCCCUCCAAAAGAGCACCAACGAGUAGUGAGGCACUGUCAUGACUGCAGCGUGACACCUCACGAGGGGCACCGACCUCUGGAGACCCUGCGUCAGUUAUAAAGAAAGGGGGAGAUGUUGGUCGCAGGCGCUCAACAUACCAUACCCCAUCCGGGACUAAGGACCACGCCAGCUUCCACAAUGCGCUACGUCCCUCUUUAAAUUAGCCAACCCCUGCGAACUUCGUGCUCACUCCGUACUCUGUGGCAACUCCUGAUUGGCCACAGCUGGAUAUGGUAGCCAGAGCCUGCGUCCCAUUCCCACCCUGCUUCCCUGUGGCAGCCUGUGAUUGGUCACUGCCAAAUAUAUAAACCAGAGCCCGCGUAAAUAAACUAGCAGUUAA
Cavia porcellus (domestic guinea pig) is the source of this 1074-nucleotide long non-coding RNA. RefSeq lists it as uncharacterized. Lineage: Eukaryota; Metazoa; Chordata; Mammalia; Rodentia; Caviidae. The transcript has 3 exons. The record is from RefSeq and is a predicted model, not a curated record.